CCUACGGGAGGCAGCAGUGGGGAAUUUUGGACAAUGGGCGAAAGCCUGAUCCAGCAAUGCCGCGUGCAGGAAGAAGGCCUUCGGGUUGUAAACUGCUUUUGUACGGAACGAAACGGUCUGCUUUAAUACAGUGGGCUAAUGACGGUACCGUAAGAAUAAGCACCGGCUAACUACGUGCCAGCAGCCGCGGUAAUACGUAGGGUGCGAGCGUUAAUCGGAAUUACUGGGCGUAAAGCGUGCGCAGGCGGUUAUAUAAGACAGUUGUGAAAUCCCCGGGCUCAACCUGGGAAUUGCAUCUGUGACUGUAUAGCUAGAGUACGGUAGAGGGGGAUGGAAUUCCGCGUGUAGCAGUGAAAUGCGUAGAUAUGCGGAGGAACACCGAUGGCGAAGGCAAUCCCCUGGACCUGUACUGACGCUCAUGCACGAAAGCGUGGGGAGCAAACAGGAUUAGAUACCCUGGUAGUCCACGCCCUAAACGAUGUCAACUGGUUGUUGGGUGNAUAGUACUACAGUAACGAAGACGUACGACGUGAGUAGACCGCCGUGGGAGGUACGGCCGGCGAGGUUAGUAAACGUUAAAGGUAAAGUUAGUACGGCGUGAGACGUGCGACGGACGACGACGAGGGAGGAGG
Molecule: ribosomal RNA, 632 nt
Filed under: uncultured bacterium
Lineage: Bacteria
Description: bacterial SSU rRNA
Rfam family: Bacterial small subunit ribosomal RNA (bases 1-543)
Source: RNAcentral